GCACUACGGUGCUGAAGUAACAAAUGCCCUGCUUCCAGGAAAAGCCUCUAAGCAUCAGGUAACAUCAAAUCGUACCCCAAACCGACACAGGUGGUCAGGUAGAGAAUACCAAGGCGCUUGAGAGAACUCGGGUGAAGGAACUAGGCAAAAUGGUGCCGUAACUUCGGGAGAAGGCACGCUGGUGUGUAGGUGAAGUCCCUGCGGAUGGAGCUGAGACCAGUCGAAGAUACCAGCUGGCUGCAACUGUUUAUUAAAAACACAGCACUGUGCAAACACGAAAGUGGACGUAUACGGUGUGACGCCUGCCCGGUGCCGGAAGGUUAAUUGAUGGGGUUAUCCGUAAGGAGAAGCUCUUGAUC
This 359-nucleotide ribosomal RNA is filed under the name Klebsiella quasipneumoniae subsp. similipneumoniae. Its description in RNAcentral is "partial 23S ribosomal RNA". It matches the Rfam family "Bacterial large subunit ribosomal RNA", at positions 1574 to 1913 of the family's 2925-position model. Lineage: Bacteria; Pseudomonadati; Pseudomonadota; Gammaproteobacteria; Enterobacterales; Enterobacteriaceae. The record is from RNAcentral.